This 485-nucleotide ribosomal RNA is filed under the name uncultured bacterium. RNAcentral's name for it is "partial 16S ribosomal RNA". It matches the Rfam family "Bacterial small subunit ribosomal RNA", at positions 27 to 507 of the family's 1533-position model. The record is from RNAcentral.
GAUUGAACGCUGGCGGCAGGCCUAACACAUGCAAGUCGAGCGGAUGAAGGGAGCUUGCUCCUGGAUUCAGCGGCGGACGGGUGAGUAAUGCCUAGGAAUCUGCCUGGUAGUGGGGGAUAACGUCCGGAAACGGGCGCUAAUACCGCAUACGUCCUGAGGGAGAAAGUGGGGGAUCUUCGGACCUCACGCUAUCAGAUGAGCCUAGGUCGGAUUAGCUAGUUGGUGGGGUAAGGGCCUACCAAGGCGACGAUCCGUAACUGGUCUGAGAGGAUGAUCAGUCACACUGGAACUGAGACACGGUCCAGACUCCUACGGGAGGCAGCAGUGGGGAAUAUUGGACAAUGGGCGAAAGCCUGAUCCAGCCAUGCCGCGUGUGUGAAGAAGGUCUUCGGAUUGUAAAGCACUUUAAGUUGGGAGGAAGGGCAGUAAGUUAAUACCUUGCUGUUUUGACGUUACCAACAGAAUAAGCACCGGCUAACUUCGUG